RNAcentral lists this unclassified non-coding RNA (386 nucleotides) under uncultured fungus. Its description in RNAcentral is "partial contains small subunit ribosomal RNA, internal transcribed spacer 1, and 5.8S ribosomal RNA". The stretch from base 1 to 73 matches the Rfam family "Eukaryotic small subunit ribosomal RNA", at positions 1759 to 1831 of the family's 1831-position model. The record is from RNAcentral. Lineage: Eukaryota; Fungi.
GCAAACUUGGUCAUUUAGAGGAAGUAAAAGUCGUAACAAGGUUUCCGUAGGUGAACCUGCGGAAGGAUCAUUAAUGAAUAAACCUGGUGGGCUGUUGCUGGCUCUUUGGAGCAUGUUGUGCACGCUUGCCAUCUUUAUCCAUCCACCUGUGCACACCCUGUAGUCUUGAGAUCAUUACAACACUUGUCGACAGGUCUUUGUCGGAGGGUGAUCUGCUGUGUUCAUUUCAUGGCUGUCUUCCUUGGUUGGGUCUUAAGGCUAUGUGUCUUUCUCAUACACCACGUAGCAUGUUACAGAAUGUAAUCAAUGGGCCUUUGUGCCUAUAUAAACUCUAUACAACUUUCAGCAACGGAUCUCUUGGCUCUCGCAUCGAUGAAGAACGCAGC